This 376-nucleotide ribosomal RNA is filed under the name uncultured bacterium. RNAcentral describes it as "bacterial SSU rRNA". It matches the Rfam family "Bacterial small subunit ribosomal RNA", at positions 524 to 898 of the family's 1533-position model. The record is from RNAcentral.
UACGGAGGGUGCAAGCGUUAAUCGGAAUUACUGGGCGUAAAGCGUGCGUAGGCGGUUCGUUAAGUCUGCUGUGAAAGCCCCGGGCUCAACCUGGGAAUGGCAGUGGAUACUGGCGAGCUAGAGUGUGAUAGAGGAUGGUGGAAUUCCCGGUGUAGCGGUGAAAUGCGUAGAGAUCGGGAGGAACAUCAGUGGCGAAGGCGGCCAUCUGGAUCAACACUGACGCUGAGGCACGAAAGCGUGGGGAGCAAACAGGAUUAGAUACCCUGGUAGUCCACGCCCUAAACGAUGCGAACUGGAUGUUGGUCUCAACUCGGAGAUCAGUGUCGAAGCUAACGCGUUAAGUUCGCCGCCUGGGGAGUACGGUCGCAAGACUGAA